Molecule: ribosomal RNA, 539 nt
Filed under: Salmonella enterica subsp. enterica serovar Infantis
Lineage: Bacteria; Pseudomonadati; Pseudomonadota; Gammaproteobacteria; Enterobacterales; Enterobacteriaceae
Also listed under: 8 other names
Description: partial 23S ribosomal RNA
Rfam family: Bacterial large subunit ribosomal RNA
Source: RNAcentral
GGUUAAGCGACUAAGCGUACACGGUGGAUGCCCUGGCAGUCAGAGGCGAUGAAGGGCGUGCUAAUCUGCGAUAAGCGCCGGUAAGGUGAUAUGAACCGUUAUAACCGGCGAUACCCGAAUGGGGAAACCCAGUGUGAUUCGUCACACUAUCAUUAACUGAAUCCAUAGGUUAAUGAGGCGAACCGGGGGAACUGAAACAUCUAAGUACCCCGAGGAAAAGAAAUCAACCGAGAUUCCCCCAGUAGCGGCGAGCGAACGGGGAGGAGCCCAGAGCCUGAAUCAGCAUGUGUGUUAGUGGAAGCGUCUGGAAAGGCGCGCGAUACAGGGUGACAGCCCCGUACACAAAAGCGCAUGUGCUGUGAGCUCGAUGAGUAGGGCGGGACACGUGGUAUCCUGUCUGAAUAUGGGGGGACCAUCCUCCAAGGCUAAAUACUCCUGACUGACCGAUAGUGAACCAGUACCGUGAGGGAAAGGCGAAAAGAACCCCGGCGAGGGGAGUGAAAAAGAACCUGAAACCGUGUACGUACAAGCAGUGGGAG